This 253-nucleotide ribosomal RNA is filed under the name uncultured bacterium. Its description in RNAcentral is "partial 16S ribosomal RNA". It matches the Rfam family "Bacterial small subunit ribosomal RNA", at positions 524 to 776 of the family's 1533-position model. The record is from RNAcentral.
UACAGAGGUCCCAAGCGUUGUUCGGAUUCACUGGGCGUAAAGGGUGCGUAGGCGGUCGGGUAAGUCUGAUGUGAAAUCUCACAGCUUAACUGUGAAACUGCAUUGGAUACUAUCCGGCUCGAGGAAUGGAGGGGAGACUGGAAUACUUGGUGUAGCAGUGAAAUGCGUAGAUAUUAAGUGGAACACCGGUGGCGAAGGCGGUUCUCUGGGCAUUACCUGACGCUGAGGAGCGAAAGCAUGGGGAGCGAACAGG